Molecule: ribosomal RNA, 227 nt
Filed under: uncultured bacterium
Lineage: Bacteria
Description: partial 16S ribosomal RNA
Rfam family: Bacterial small subunit ribosomal RNA
Source: RNAcentral
AUUGAACGCUGGCGGCGUGCUUAACACAUGCAAGUCGAUCGGGCAACAGGUGUAGCAAUACAUGCUGACGAGAGGCGGACGGGUGAGUAAUGCUUGGGAAUCUGCCUAUUAGGUGGGGGACAACCCGGGGAAACUCGGGCUAAUACCGCAUACGCUCUACGGAGGAAAGCCGGGGACCGCAAGGCCUGGCGCUAAUAGAUGAGCCCAAGUCGGAUUAGCUAGUUGGA